Molecule: ribosomal RNA, 398 nt
Filed under: uncultured bacterium
Lineage: Bacteria
Description: bacterial SSU rRNA
Rfam family: Bacterial small subunit ribosomal RNA
Source: RNAcentral
CAGGACUUGACAUCCCUCGCUAUAGGCGGAAACGUCUAGUUCCCUUCGGGGACGAGGAGACAGGUGGUGCACGGUUGUCGUCAGCUCGUGUCGUGAGAUGUUGGGUUAAGUCCCGCAACGAGCGCAACCCCUAUCCUUAGUUGCCAGCGUAAAGACGGGCACUCUAGGGAGACUGCCGGUGUAAACCGGAGGAAGGCGGGGAUGACGUCAAAUCAUCAUGCCCCUUAUGUCCUGGGCUACACACGUGCUACAAUGGGCUGUACAAAGGGAAGCGAUACCGCGAGGAGGAGCAAAUCCCAUAAAACAGCUCUCAGUUCAGAUCGUAGGCUGCAACUCGCCUGCGUGAAGAUGGAGUUGCUAGUAAUCGCCGGUCAGCAUACGGCGGUGAAUGCGUUCCC